UCGGGAGGCGUUACCUGCGGAGGGUUUGAGGCAGGCCCAGGAGCGAGCCCAUGGUCUUCCGACGCGGGGCCAGGGGCGGGGCCCAGGAUCCGGAGCUUCGUGCGGGGCCGAGUCCAGGUUUGGGGCCCGGGAGGCGGGGCCAGUUAGGGCGAGGGUCCCUGGGAUCGUCGGGUCAGGCCUUGGGCUAACGUAGGCACUCUCGCAGUUCCUCCGCCUUCAGGAAGGUCUUUUCAGCAGGGGCCUUACGGGUGCAUGCUUCGGUCCUGGAGGCCUUAUCCUAGCCUCCUCUCCAUCAGCGCCACCCGUCUGGGGCCCGAAAGGAGGGAGCUUUCCCUCUGUCCCCCAGCCUUUGGACUGUCACUAAACAAGCCAUUCGUUCAUCAAAUACUUUUUAAGCGCCUACCAUGUGCCUGACAAGGGAGAUGUAACGGUGAGAAAAACUAGGUGUGGUCCAGGCCCUUCAGGGGCUCAGGUGCUCGUGGAAGAAGUGGACAUUGAAGUACUUAUCACACAAAUGAGGAUAAAAGUACGAUAACGAUAUCUACCACGAAGCUGUUGUUCCCCACCAGAACCAAAUGAGCGCAAGAUCUGACAAAGAAAAAAAAAGGUUCAUCUUUUAUUCCUCCAAACACUUUCAUUUAAAUCAAGAGGAUGGGAUGUGGUUAUUGCUGUGUUUUUAGACAGAAUCAACGGUUUCUGGGUCUGAGAUGUUGCAUACACCUUCUCAGUCCCUGUAUCCUGAGAUGGAGUCACCUGAGAAUCCACAGCAAGUCCUAACCAGGGAUGGGUCUGGGUGAUUAAGGAAGGUUGGCUUCAGAACUGGGCCAGGGGCACUGCUUUGCUUUUGCUGUUUUGAUCAGCUCUCUGCCUGAAGGAGACAAGAAAAACCAACGGGAACAGCCCAGUAAAGGCGCCAUUCCCCAUUUUACAGCUGGGGAAACUGAGUUACAGAGCUUGUCUGCACUGAGUCAUCAGGAGCAAAUGCUAGAUCAGAUAGGGUCUCUCUCUCUGCCACCCAGGCCAGAGUGCAGUUGACGCAGGGCAGGGGAGCCCCGAAGUGGAGCAUAGUGUGUCCGGAACUGGUGGGUUCUUGGUCUCACUGACUUCAAGAAAGAAGCCGCGGACCCUCGCGAAACUCCUGGAGGGCAGAGGCAUGCCUGCCAUCUUCAUCAUUGCAUUACCACCACCCAACACUAUCGGGGGACCUGCCCUGAUA
This 1216-nucleotide long non-coding RNA is filed under the name Homo sapiens (human). RNAcentral describes it as "LHRI_LNC1377.3". The record is from RNAcentral. Lineage: Eukaryota; Metazoa; Chordata; Mammalia; Primates; Hominidae.